This 642-nucleotide ribosomal RNA is filed under the name Gordonia sp. YIM 68251. Its description in RNAcentral is "bacterial SSU rRNA". It matches the Rfam family "Bacterial small subunit ribosomal RNA", at positions 61 to 716 of the family's 1533-position model. Lineage: Bacteria; Bacillati; Actinomycetota; Actinomycetes; Mycobacteriales; Gordoniaceae. The record is from RNAcentral.
GUCGAACGGAAAGGCCCAGCUUGCUGGGUACUCGAGUGGCGAACGGGUGAGUAACACGUGGGUGAUCUGCCCCUGACUUUGGGAUAAGCCUGGGAAACUGGGUCUAAUACCGGAUAUGACCUUACAUCGCAUGGUGUUUGGUGGAAAGCUUUUGCGGUUGGGGAUGGGCCCGCGGCCUAUCAGCUUGUUGGUGGGGUAAUGGCCUACCAAGGCGACGACGGGUAGCCGACCUGAGAGGGUGAUCGGCCACACUGGGACUGAGACACGGCCCAGACUCCUACGGGAGGCAGCAGUGGGGAAUAUUGCACAAUGGGCGCAAGCCUGAUGCAGCGACGCCGCGUGAGGGAUGACGGCCUUCGGGUUGUAAACCUCUUUCACCAGGGACGAAGCGUGAGUGACGGUACCUGGAGAAGAAGCACCGGCCAACUACGUGCCAGCAGCCGCGGUAAUACGUAGGGUGCGAGCGUUGUCCGGAAUUACUGGGCGUAAAGAGCUCGUAGGCGGUUUGUCGCGUCGUCUGUGAAAUUCUGCAGCUUAACUGUAGGCGUGCAGGCGAUACGGGCAGACUUGAGUACUACAGGGGAGACUGGAAUUCCUGGUGUAGCGGUGAAAUGCGCAGAUAUCAGGAGGAACACCGGUGGC